GGAUCCAGGAGGAUUUUGGGAGGGGAUCCAGGAGGAUUUUGGGAGGGAUCCAGGAGGAUUUGGGAGGGAAUCCAUGGGGAAUUACCCGCGAGGUCAUGAAGAGCAGCUUGGUCUCCAUGUCGGGGGUGAGGCGGCACGCCAGGAAUUUGCGGGAGGUUCUGGACUGCAGGAGCUGCAGGACCCCUGGACAGGGACAGGGAAGCGGAAUUUGGUUGGAAAAGGCGUCCAGAGAAAGCUUUUUAGGGAUCACUGAGGAGGGGUUUGAGGGGGAUUUGAGGGGUGGGAACACUCCAAAGCCCCAUUUCCCUGGAAUUGCUGCAUCCAGGGAAGCGCCCAGGGAAAGGAACGAUUUAUGGGAAUAUCAUUGAUGGAAAUAAAAUGAAAAAAAAAAAACCAACAACAAAUAAAAUCCAUGGCUCUUCCCACGGAAUGGGGAAACCAGCAGGAAUUAAAUCUCAUGGAGGUGCCACUGCUGGAAUUCCUGAUUUUUAUGGAUCUUCUCCAGGCUCUGCUCAGCCUGGGCUCACCUUCCCCGCCACUUAAUUAAGGGAAAUAACUCUGAUUAACCUGGAAUUCCAGACUGGUUUGGGCUGGGAUCACCCAAAGAUCACCCAGACCACGGGCAGGGACAAUUCCCACCGGAUCCACAAGCCCAGGGAGGAGGAGGAGGAGGAGACGAGGGCAGCACGGGGAUCCCGGGGGUUUCCUGGGGGGAUCCUGGGGGGGAUCCCGGGGGUUUCCUGGGGGGAUCCCGGCUGGGAAUUCCCGGGAAGGGAAGAUCCCGUACCUGUGAACUGGGAGCUGAGCACCUGCGGGUUGUGCAGGAUGUCCUUCCAGAGCUGCUCGAACUCCGGGAUCCGCGCCACGUUCUGCAGCAGCCGCACCAGGUCCCGGCCGAUCAUGAAGCAAUCCAUGAACUGGGAAUGGGGGAAAAAGAGGGAAAAAUCCCGCUCGGUGCCCGGGGCAGGGGGAUGGGAGCAGGGAAAGGAGGAAUUCCCGCUCCUCCCACCCCCUCCCUGCUGGAAUGGAUGGAGGGAAGGUCGGGAGUUGUUCUGGAAUGUUCUCCCUGGCAAAGCAAACAAUCGGGCCAUAAAUCUGCCACCCUCCCCAGGCCUGCAGCCAGGCCCCGCCGGGGCAGCGUCGGCAACGGCAGGAUCUGGGAGAAAUCCGGGACAAAUCCCAGCUCUGGGGGGUUCUCCUGCUCCAGCCGGAGCCAAACCAGGCCUGGAGCUGCUGCUGUGGGAUCAUCCCAAACCGCCCUGCCCAGGGAGGGAUCCCCAGGGGAACGGGAUCCCAUCCCGAUUCCAUCCCAAUCCCAAUCCUGGAGCAGGGAGAUGCAGGAUCCCAUCCCAAUCCCAUCCCAAUCCCAUCCCAAUCCCAAUCCCAAUCCCAUUCCCAUUCCCAAUCCCAAUCCCAAUCCCAAUCCUGGAGCAGGGAGAUACAGGAUCCCAUUCCCAGCCCCAAUCCCAUUCCAAAUCCCAUCCCAUCCCAAUCCCAUUCUCAUUCCCAGGAACUCACCCUCCCCUGGAGCAGGGAGAUGCAGAACUCCAGAUCCCAAUCCCAAUCCCAUCCCAAUCCCAUUCCCAAUCCCAUUCCCACUCCCAUCCCCAUUCCCGUUCCCAUUCCCGUUCCCGUUCCCAUCCCCGUUCCCGUUCCCGUCGCUCACGUGGGCGUUGAGGGCGUCGUUGGCCUCGCGCUCCGAGAGCCCGCUGGUCAGCGAGGUGACGAUCCCCACACAGCGCUCCAGCCUCUGGAAAACCGGGAGAGACCGGGGGAACUGCGGAAACUGGGGAAGCUGGGAACAGCUGGGAACAGCUGGGAACAGCUGGGAACAGCUGGGAACAGCUGGGAACAGCUGGGAACAGCUGGGAACAGCUGGGAGCAGCGCGCCAUUCCGGAUUCUCCCCAGCAAGGGCCGCUCCCGGGAGCAUUCCCAGAUCCCGGGAGGAUCCUGGUGCUAUCCCGGUGCUAUCCUGGUGUGCUAUCCCGGUGUUCUAUCCCAGUAUUUUAUCCCGGUGCUAUCCCGGUGUUAUCCCGGUGUUUUAUCCCGGUGCUAUCCUGGUGUUCUAUCCCGGUGUUUUCCCGGUGUUUUAUCCUGGUGUUAUCCCAGUGUUCUAUCCUGGUGUUAUCCCGGUGCUAUCCCGGUGUUAUCCCGGUGUUCUAUCCCGGUAUUAUCCCAGUGUUUUAUCCCGGUGUUUUCCCGGUGUUUUCCCGGUGUUAUCCCGGUUUUAUCCCGGUGUUUUCCCGUGCCGCUCUCACCUCCUCCAGCUCAUCCUUGGAGUCGAGCAGGGAGCAGAGCAGGAGUUUCCCGGCCGUUCCCGCUUUGCCCUUGGGGAGCUCCAUGGCCCGCCCGGUGCUCCCGGUGCUCCCGGUG
Molecule: long non-coding RNA, 2374 nt
Organism: Cyanistes caeruleus (blue tit)
Lineage: Eukaryota; Metazoa; Chordata; Aves; Passeriformes; Paridae
Source: Ensembl